AAAACCGUUCGUAGCCGCAACGUAACUUACGAUGUACGAUUGCACGUACGCGUGCGCAGUGGCUAUUUUCACUUCGAAGCGUAAAAAGUGUGAAUUUGCUCAUUUACUUUGAAUUCCCUGCGCUACCGCCGCAUUAUGAUGAAAAAGAACACAGAACUUUGUGAGAAAGCAACGAAUUUCAACGUAUUCGUAUGCCUGCCAACGGCAUGUCGAUCAACUGUACCGUUAUUCAGUGUUGUUUACAAAUCCAAAUGGAAGAUUCAUCAAAUUUAACGCAUUUGACUUGUGCAUGGAUCUGCGAUGCUGUAGGUGUUCAAAAAGAAGUCGGCAUGGACUGACAAUGUCAUAAAGGUGGUCAAGAAAUAAAUUGCCAAACAGACAGCAGCAUUCCUUGAUUUAGAUGCAUUUCUCUUCAUGUCCUCUCCUGAAAGAUUUUCCAUGAUGCUUCAGGGUUAGGAUUGGGAUGCAAGAUGUACAGUACAUAUAUAUGAUGUCUAUGGGUACAUUGCUGUAAUGGCCUGAAAAAUCUUUUGCGAAACCGAGAAAUGUUCAUCUUCCAUUGCCAUGAUUGUGUAAAAGGACGAGUAGAGGAAUGAUUCAAAAAUAUAUGGCAGGAUUGAGAAUCUAACCCAUGACCCGUAGUCUGGUACUCUACCCACUGAUCAAUCCAUGCUGAUGGUCCAUCUACUAUAUUGAUGUCAUCUUAUAUAUUUAUUUAUUCAUUUAUAUCAUAUGGACAUUAAAAAAUUGACAGUAAAAUAAAAAAAAGUUUGAUAUUCAGCAAAAUAGAAUUUGUUACAAUACAUGUUUAAGAAAUUAAGUACAUGUACAUGCAUUGUUAUGCAUACAAUUAUGUACAUGUAAUUAUAUUUGUUAAUAGAUAAAUUUUUAGAUAAAUUUUCAUGUUGUUAUUGAUAUUGACAUGUACAUGUAUUACUUCCAUUUCUAGAAUGAUUUUAACAUCUUGAUAUUAAAAAGAUGACAUAAUAAAUAAAUCUUAAAUAUUUGUCAACAAA
Ostrea edulis (European flat oyster) is the source of this 1016-nucleotide long non-coding RNA. RefSeq lists it as uncharacterized. The transcript has 3 exons. The record is from RefSeq and is a predicted model, not a curated record. NCBI's taxonomy places the organism in Eukaryota, Metazoa, Mollusca, Bivalvia, Ostreida, Ostreidae.